CUGUUCCUACGGGGGGCAGCAGUGGGGAAUAUUGGUCAAUGGGCGGAAGCCUGAACCGGCCAAGUCGCGUGAGGGAAUAAGGCCCUACGGGUCGUAAACCUCUUUUGCCGGGGAGCAAGGGCCGGGACGAGUCCCGGUCCGGAGAGUACCCGGAGAAAAAGCAUCGGCUAACUCCGUGCCAGCAGCCGCGGUAAUACGGAGGAUGCGAGCUUUAUCCGGAUUUAUUGGGUUUAAAGGGUGCGUAGGCGGGCUUUUAAGUCAGCGGUAAAAAUUCGGGGCUCAACCCCGUCCGGCCGUUGAAACUG
RNAcentral lists this ribosomal RNA (305 nucleotides) under uncultured bacterium. Its description in RNAcentral is "bacterial SSU rRNA". It matches the Rfam family "Bacterial small subunit ribosomal RNA", at positions 333 to 635 of the family's 1533-position model. The record is from RNAcentral.